This 1046-nucleotide ribosomal RNA is filed under the name uncultured archaeon. Its description in RNAcentral is "bacterial SSU rRNA". It matches the Rfam family "Archaeal small subunit ribosomal RNA", at positions 1 to 1055 of the family's 1478-position model. The record is from RNAcentral.
UUCCGGUUGACCCUGCCGGAGGUCACUGCUCUCGGGGUUCGAUUAAGCCAUGCGAGUCGAGAGGGUUCAGACCCUCGGCGGACUGCUCAGUAACACGUGGAUAAUCUGCCCUAUGGUGGAGGAUAACCCCGGGAAACUGGGGAUAAUACUCCAUAAGUCAGGAGUACCGGAAUGUCUCCUAACUGAAAGUUGCGGCGCCAUAGGAUGAAUCUGCGGCCGAUUAGGUAGUUGUUGGGGUAACGGCCCAACAAGCCCGUAAUCGGUACGGGUUGUGGGAGCAAGAGCCCGGAGAUGGAAUCUGAGACACGAUUCCAGGCCCUACGGGGCGCAGCAGGCGCGAAAACUUUACAAUGCAGGAAACUGUGAUAAGGGAACCCCGAGUGCCCGUACACGCGGGCUGUCCCGGUGUUUAAAACACAUCGGAAGAAAGGGCCGGGCAAGACCGGUGCCAGCCGCCGCGGUAAUACCGGCGGCUCGAGUGGUGACCACUUUUAUUGGGCUUAAAGCGUUCGUAGCUUGAUUUCUAAGUCUCUUGGGAAAUCUCACGGCUUAACUGUGAGGCGUCUAAGAGAUACUGGGAAUCUAGGGACCGGGAGAGGUAAGAGGUACUUCAGGGGUAGAAGUGAAAUUCUGUAAUCCUUGAGGGACCACCGAUGGCGAAGGCAUCUUACCAGAACGGCUUCGACAGUGAGGAACGAAAGCUGGGGGAGCGAACGGGAUUAGAUACCCCGGUAGUCCCAGCCGUAAACUAUGCGCGUUAGGUGUGCCUGUAACUACGAGUUACCGGGGUGCCGAAGUGAAAACGUGAAACGUGCCGCCUGGGAAGUACGGUCGCAAGGCUGAAACUUAAAGGAAUUGGCGGGGGAGCACCACAACGGGUGGAGCCUGCGGUUUAAUUGGACUCAACGCCGGGCAGCUCACCGGAUAGGACAGCGGAAUGAUAGCCGGGCUGAAGACCUUGCUUGACCAGCUGAGAGGAGGUGCAUGGCCGUCGUCAGUUCGUACUGUGAAGCAUCCUGUUUAGUCAGGCAACGAGCGAGACCCCC